RNAcentral lists this small RNA (25 nucleotides) under Mus musculus (house mouse). Its description in RNAcentral is "piRNA piR-mmu-10841588". Lineage: Eukaryota; Metazoa; Chordata; Mammalia; Rodentia; Muridae. The record is from RNAcentral.
GGUUCAAUUCCUAUUGUCCUAGCCA